UACGUAGGGUGCGAGCGUUGUCCGGAAUUAUUGGGCGUAAAGAGCUCGUAGGCGGUGUGUCGCGUCGGUCGUGAAAACUUGGGGCUUAACCCUGAGCUUGCGGUCGAUACGGGCAUCACUGGAGUUCGGCAGGGGAGACUGGAAUUCCUGGUGUAGCGGUGAAAUGCGUAGAUACUGGGAGGAACACCAGUGGCGAAGGCGGCUACCUGGACCGGUUCUGACGCUGAGGCGCGAAAGCGUGGGUAGCAAACAGG
RNAcentral lists this ribosomal RNA (254 nucleotides) under uncultured bacterium. Its description in RNAcentral is "partial 16S ribosomal RNA". It matches the Rfam family "Bacterial small subunit ribosomal RNA", at positions 524 to 776 of the family's 1533-position model. The record is from RNAcentral.